ACACAUGCAAGUCGAACGGUAGCACAGAGAGCUUGCUCUCGGGUGACGAGUGGCGGACGGGUGAGUAACGUCUGGGAAACUGCCCGAUGGAGGGGGAUAACUACUGGAAACGGUAGCUAAUACCGCAUAACGUCGCAAGACCAAAGUGGGGGACCUUCGGGCCUCACACCAUCGGAUGUGCCCAGAUGGGAUUAGCUAGUAGGUGGGGUAAUGGCUCACCUAGGCGACGAUCCCUAGCUGGUCUGAGAGGAUGACCAGCCACACUGGAACUGAGACACGGUCCAGACUCCUACGGGAGGCAGCAGUGGGGAAUAUUGCACAAUGGGCGCAAGCCUGAUGCAGCCAUGCCGCGUGUAUGAAGAAGGCCUUCGGGUUGUAAAGUACUUUCAGCGGGGAGGAAGGCGGUGGAGUUAAUAGCUUCACCGAUUGACGUUACCCGCAGAAGAAGCACCGGCUAACUCCGUGCCAGCAGCCGCGGUAAUACGGAGGGUGCAAGCGUUAAUCGGAAUUUCUGGGCGUAAAGCGCCCGCAGGCGGUCUUUCAAGUCGGAUGUGAAAUCCCCGGGGUUAACCUGGGAACUCGCAUUAGAAACUGGCAGGUUAAAGUCUUGUAGAGGGGGGUAGAAUUUCCAGGUGUAGCGGUGAAAUGCGUAGAGAUCUGGAGGAAUACCGGUGGCGAAGGCGGCCCCCUGGACAAAGACUGACGCUCAGGUGCGAAAGCGUGGGGAGCAAACAGGAUUAGAUCCCCUGGUAGUCCACGCGGUAAACGAUGUCGACUUGGAGGUUGUUCCCUUGAGGAGUGGCUUCCGGAGUUAACGCGUUAAGUCGACCGCCUGGGGAGUCCGGCCGCAAGGUUAAAACUCAAAUGAAUUGACGGGGGCCCGCACAAGCGGUGGAGCAUGUGGUUUAAUUCGAUGCAACGCGAAGAACCUUACUUAUUCUUGACAUCCAGAGAAUUUAGCAGAGAUGCUUUGGUGCCUUCGGGAACUCUGAGACAGGUGCUGCAUGGCUGUCGUCAGCUCGUGUUGUGAAAUGUUGGGUUAAGUCCCGCAACGAGCGCAACCCUUAUCCUUUGUUGCCAGCGGUUCGGCCGGGAACUCAAAGGAGACUGCCAGUGAUAAACUGGAGGAAGGUGGGGAUGACGUCAAGUCAUCAUGGCCCUUACGAGUAGGGCUACACACGUGCUACAAUGGCGCAUACAAAGAGAAGCGACCUCGCGAGAGCAAGCGGACCUCAUAAAGUGCGUCGUAGUCCGGAUCGGAGUCUGCAACUCGACUCCGUGAAGUCGGAAUCGCUAGUAAUCGUAGAUCAGAAUGCUACGGUGAAUACGUUCCCGGGCCUUGUACACACCGCCCGUCACACCAUGGGAGUGGGUUGCAAAAGAAGUAGGUAGCUUAACCUUCGGGAGG
RNAcentral lists this ribosomal RNA (1408 nucleotides) under Pantoea endophytica. RNAcentral describes it as "bacterial SSU rRNA". It matches the Rfam family "Bacterial small subunit ribosomal RNA". Lineage: Bacteria; Pseudomonadati; Pseudomonadota; Gammaproteobacteria; Enterobacterales; Erwiniaceae. The record is from RNAcentral.